CUGUUUUAUGUUACUUCACUGUCAGAAGACCCAGCACUGGUAUGCGAGCGGAGGUGUGAGCGCCUCAGAAACGUGUAACACACACACACACACACACACACACACACCCUAAACCACUCCGUCCUCUGGGAAGAGGGUCCCUCUGCCCGACUCCCUGAAGGUGGCUCCCUGCCCAGGGCCCAGCUCUCUUCUCCUGGACGCCACCUCCCCGGAGCUGGGGGACUGGGCUCCGCAACCGCUGCGAAGCUUCCCCUAAGCCGCAGGCCUAAGGCCACCCUUGGUCCCAGACCCAGCGCCGGGACGCGCGCCCCAGCCCCGUCGGAGCUGCCAUGGCCCGAUGAUUAGGGCCACUGUGGCCCCUGACUUUCUCUUAUUAAUGUUUUUUUUUAAAUUGUAAAUCAUUACUCAGCUCAGCUCAGUCACCAGGCAAACUGUGUUUAAUAAAUUAGCUUAAUCUAUUCCGCAAGUGGUUUGUGAGUGCGGUGUUUCCUCUGGUUAAGGAAAACAUUUAUAUUCUCUCUCCUUGCCCUGCAUUCCUGGGCUUCAGGAGUCGCUACCCAGGCCGGGCGCACUUGGAGGCCUGCGGGGGGAGGCUCUCGGCCCGCCGCUCGCGGGGGCCCCCACCUCGGGCGGCCAGGAGGGCAGUUGGUGGCCGCGUGGCCUCUUUGUCCCCGUCAGCCCGAGGCGGCGCUGGUGCCCACCCGGCCUCCCCGCGGCCCAGCCCCGCGCCUCCGCCACAGGCCGCAAGCAUUCUCCUCUUCCAGAGGGGCCUCUUUAACGGCUCCCCAAGAAAUAAUCAUUCAUUAUGUCACCAGAAGGGAAGAAAGGGAGUUCAUCCUCCUGCUCCUUGCUAGAGACACUGUUCAUGUCUAUGAAAUGAGGGCAAGGAUAGUCUAGAUCCUAAGAAGAAUCAUACGGCCUUCUUUUGUUCCGUCAAUGACAGGUUCCCCAUUGCUUCAAGAGCUGCUCAAAAAGGUGAGUUCUCUUCUCCCUUCCUGGGAGUCUUUCCACAUUUCUCCUCCCUCUAAUUCAUUUUUACUGGAGGUUAAUAGAUCAUACUUCUGAGCUUAAAAUUCAUUCUUUUAACCUUGCCAAUUUUCUCCUUCUUUCCUUUUAUUUUUAUUUAAAUAAAAAUAAAAAACCCCAACCUGCAAGUGAAACAAGCAGCUUCACUUUUGCAUCAAAACCAGGUAGAAAAGGACAAGUGAAAAAAGACCAUUAUUUGUGUCCCAUUUUUGCUGCCUUUGUGGGGACAGGGAUGGCUUAUUUGGCAUGCUUAUUGCUAAAGUAGACAAUGCUAGUCCCUGAGCACCCCUAAUUCUGGACUGAAAUCUGUCCUUCUCUGACACUGAAAAGACACUUUUAAUUUUGACACAUCUAUUCAUCAAAAAUUUACUGAGGGUUUAUUAUAUGCUAAGCACUGUGCUAGCUGUCGAAGAAGUAAGCAACAUAUGCUCCUUCUGAGGGCAAACACAUUAUGCAUUUCUGCAGAUGCCCUCUUGCUAAUUUUUGUACUAAUCUAGUACUAAAGUCAUCUAAAGAGUCUUCCCUCUCCAAAGCAGAUGCCUGCCACAAUCUACUUUUAAGACUACACCUCCUUGAGACUCAAAAAUUACCCUGGAAAUUGGCUGGGUGUGGUGGCUCACACCUGUAAUCCCAGCACUUUGGGAGGCCAAGGCAGGAGGAUUGCUUCAGGCCUGGAGUUUGAGACCAGCCUGGUCAACAGAGUGAGAUCCUGUCUUUACAAAAAGUAAAAAAUAAGCCAAGUAUGGGGGCACAUGCCUAUAGUCCUAGCUCCUCAGGGGGCUGAGGGAGUAGGAUGGAUUGAGUCCAGGAGUUUGAGGCUACAAUGAGCUGUGAUCUUGCCACUGCACUCUAGCUUGUGUGACAGAGCAAAAUCCUGUCUCUGAAAAAUAAAAAUAAAUCAGGAAAUAGAGUUUUAGAACUGCUGACUGGAUGGGACACCAAAUCUACCCACCAUAUGGAACCCAUCAGGAAAUAAAGAAUUUAAGAGUAAAUGACUCCUCUGAAGCCACCCACAGUGAUCAUCAAUCUCAUCUAUCUUGAGUGGCUUAGGGGCUGGUCAGGAUAUCCUUGAGGCCAAGGAAUAUCCUCAAGGAUAGCUAGAUGUCCUUUCCAGUCUGGAGAUUCUAGGCAGAUCAGAGAAAACGGUGGCAACCUGGCCACCGGCUCUCUGGAGUCAAGAAUCUGAAGCAAUGUGAGCGGCCGCCAGUUCGUGCCACUGCCAGUGUUUGCCUACGCCAUCACUAUCAGCAUCAAACUCACUCCCUGCUUUGUUAAGUGCUUUGGGAUUUCUCAAGUAGAAAAGGUGCUAUAUAAAAUCAAUCACAGGAAACCCUGCUGCUGGCAGCUCAGAACAGCUACAGUAAGCGGUGUCCACUCAAUCAAUAGUCCCUCACUGAGAAGGGGAAAGAAUACCAUUAAAAAGAUGUGCUCUUAGAAAAACUUCCCUUAAGUAAGGGGGGGGAAGGGAAUUCUACCUUACAAAGAGUAUAUAUAUACAGAAAGCACACAAUACAUUGUUUCUCCGUGACAGAUGUUAAACACAACAGGAGAAGGAACUUACUGCUUACUACAUAAUUUUGCUUUUAUUUUAACCAUGAAAGAGCACAAACUGAUACACAUUGAGCCUGAGAAAGCUUGUAGGCCCUAUGCAGGAAAGGUCUAUUGGAGUCAGUCUUGAAAUGAAAAUGGAAUUAACUCUAUGGCACUGGGGUAGAAAAAAAAGUGAUUUCUACAGUUUGCUUUCCAAAGCAUGAUAUGCAUGUGUAUUAGUACAUUUUUACACUAUUAUAAAGAUACUACCUGAGCAUGGGUAAUUUACAAAGAAAAGAAAACUGGCUCACAGUUCCACAGGCUGUAUAGGAACCAUGGCUGGGAAGGCCUCAGGAAACUUACAAUCAUGAUAGAAGGCAAAGGGGAAGCAGGCACCUUUUUCAUAAGGCGGCAGAAGAGAGAGACCAUGCAGGGGAAACUGUCACUUUUAAAACCAUCAGAUCUCAUGAGAACUCCCUCACUAUCAUCAGAACAACAUGGGGGAAACCACCCCCAAGAUCCAAUCACCUCCUACCAGGUCCUUCCCUUGACACCUGGGGAUCUCAAUUUGAGAUGAGAUUUGAGUGGGGACACAGAGCCCAACGAUAGCAGCAUGUUUGAGAUUCAGUAUAACUUGUCUGCCUUUUAUUAUGUUUAAAUAUAGGAAUAUAGGUAGAUGCAUAUCAUUUUAUGAUGUUAAAGAACUGGGCUUCUUGCACAAUCCUAAGGAAUAUUAAUUUGGAUUAUUUUUGGUUUUCAUUUCAUUUCAAAAGUCAAAAUGCAAAAAAUAUAUAAAAUUGCAUUACUAUGUACAUGAAAUCAUGCUACUUCUCAAAGGCACAACAUAGUAAUUUAACUAGUUGAGAAAAUUAGGAAGAGGCUAUCCCCAGUGUUCUUAAUCCACAAACAAUGUUUUUGUUAACUACAGAAAAGUAUUGUGAGUUUUUUUUGUUUUGUUUUGUUUUUGUUUUUUAAGUUAGAACUUUAAAAAGCAAAUAGGGGCUGGGCACAGUGGCUUCUGCAUAUAAUCCUGGCACUUUGGGAGACCAAGGCAGGUGGAUCACCUGAGGUCAGGAGUUUGAGACCAGCCUGACCAACAUAAUGAAAUCCCAUCUCUACUAAACCCCAGCUACUCAGGAGGCUAAGGCAGGAGAAUCGCUUGAACCUAGGUGCUGGAGGUUGCAGUGAGCCAAUAGUUCCACUGCACUCCCGCCUGGUUGAGAGAGCAAGACUUUGUCUCAAAAAACAAACAAAUAGGUAAAACUAUUGCAGUUCUCCCUGAGUUAUGUGUAAUCUAAGAAGAAAGUUCUCCAAGCUUUUGUCUAAUGAAGUCUUCCUGUGGCAUGAAGGAAUAUUUUAGUUUUUAUUUAUUAUUAUUAUUAUUAUUAUUAUUUUUUUUUUUUGAGACGGACUUUCACGCUUGUUACCCAGGCUGGAGUGCAAUAGCACUAUCUCGGCUCACCGCAACCUCUGCCUCCUGGGUUCAGGCAAUUCUCCUGCCUCAGCCUCCUGAGUAGCUGGGACUACAGGCACACGCCACCACGCCCAGCUAAUUUUUUGUAUUUUUAAUAGAGACGAGGUUUCACUAUGUUGACCAGGAUGGUCUCAAUCUCUUGACCUCGUGGCCCACCUGCCUCAGCCUCCCAAAGUGCUGGGAUUACAGGCGUGAGCCACCGCGCCCGGCUGAAGGAAUAUUUUAAAUCAGUUAUCAGUGUCUCUUUAAGUCUUUUCAACAAACCAUAAUAGAGUUUAAAUUGCUAAAGUGUAAAUGAUUAAAAAUCUCAUAUUUGCAAGAAAAUGCAUAUGUUCUUUGAUCCAAGUGUUGUAAACCCUGGAGUGCAUUAGAAUUCCUUGGAAGGGCUUGUUAGAUGCUGAUAUAAUGGCUAGUGGACCUUACCUUAAGAAAUUCUGUGCCCAGUCCCUUGGUUGUAGGUUAGGAAACUACUUCAUGGCUGUUUGACAAUGACUUGCUCAAGUCCACCAGCCAUAACCAUGCGUCCCACCUGUUCCACAUCAGCAGUCUUUUCCCUUCAACACCUGGUUAUUCUCCUGGAAAUGGCUUUAGCUGCUGUCAAACGCUUCUCGAAUUGUUCACCCAGGACAAAUGAUGUUCCCUUCAUGGAAGUAAUUCCUGAGUAGCUUCUCUUUCUUCCUUUGAGUUCUUUACAAUCAUUUCAGUCUAUGAAAUCAGAAUUGAGUUGAAACCGUUUAUUAUACAAAAAUGCCCAGUUACAGACCUAGUACUGUUUUUUCUUGAUAACGUCUGGUUAUAAUAUUCUCAAAAACUCAGGGUGGAGCCGAGAAAAGGUGAGUGGAUCUGGUCAGUGUACACUGUAGCUGAGACUCUAGGUUUACAGCCAAUGAUGUCCUCAGCUUAGAUUUCAGCAGUUUCACUAGAGUGACUAUACUUCCCAGAGCUACCAAAUGCUACCCAGAGUCUGACCACAUUACCAGACAUUUCAGAUGAGAUCUAGAUUUAAACAGACACACCUCAACUUGGGCAGGGGAGGGGGUUAAUUGUUUCUUGGUUCACAUAAUUUAAUUUGUUUACUUCUCUUAAACACCUAGCUACACCAACAGGGUCGAUGCUUAAUAAUUCAGACACAUUCUGAAGUUUAUGCCCCAAAGGCAAUGCUAGGAAUUACAACAGUGAUUCAUACACAAAGAAAUCUGCAACUUUCCAGCAGAAUUAUUUCUAAAACCUACCAAAUAUUACCUUUUCUUCUACAGGGUAGAUUGUUUCUUGCUUAACCAUCAUACUCCCGCCAGGGAGAGCCAGGGAGAAGAAUGAUAAUCAAACUCCACUCUAUCUACUAUCUCUGUCCUAUUUUCUUCAUGAAAUUUUUAUCAGCAAUGAUAAAAUCAGCUUCUUUGAGUCUUAGUUUUCUCCUUGCAGAGCUGGGAGGAGAAGGUAAAAAGCUAAAACAGCAGAAAAAGUGGGAGACAAAAGAAGCAGAAAACUAGAAAAGAAACAAUAUAACCCCAACCUCAAAUAACCAAGACACACAACACUUUCAAAUACUGAGAACUCCUUCACAUUUGUGAUUGUUUCACAAUUUUUAGAUAAGUAAUCAAGGAA
Molecule: long non-coding RNA, 5635 nt
Organism: Callithrix jacchus (white-tufted-ear marmoset)
Lineage: Eukaryota; Metazoa; Chordata; Mammalia; Primates; Cebidae
Source: Ensembl